Molecule: ribosomal RNA, 465 nt
Filed under: Vreelandella stevensii
Lineage: Bacteria; Pseudomonadati; Pseudomonadota; Gammaproteobacteria; Oceanospirillales; Halomonadaceae
Description: partial 16S ribosomal RNA
Rfam family: Bacterial small subunit ribosomal RNA
Source: RNAcentral
CCUACGGGGUGCAGCAGUGGGGAAUAUUGGACAAUGGGCGAAAGCCUGAUCCAGCCAUGCCGCGUGUGUGAAGAAGGCCUUCGGGUUGUAAAGCACUUUCAGUGGGGAAGAAAGCCUUGGGGCUAAUACCCUCGAGGAAGGACAUCACCCACAGAAGAAGCACCGGCUAACUCCGUGCCAGCAGCCGCGGUAAUACGGAGGGUGCGAGCGUUAAUCGGAAUUACUGGGCGUAAAGCGCGCGUAGGCGGUCUGAUAAGCCGGUUGUGAAAGCCCCGGGCUCAACCUGGGAACGGCAUCCGGAACUGUCAGGAUAGAGUGCAGGAGAGGAAGGUAGAAUUCCCGGUGUAGCGGUGAAAUGCGUAGAGAUCGGGAGGAAUACCAGUGGCGAAGGCGGCCUUCUGGACUGACACUGACGCUGAGGUGCGAAAGCGUGGGUAGCAAACAGGAUUAGAUACCCCUGUAGUC